Molecule: long non-coding RNA, 1232 nt
Filed under: Amborella trichopoda
Lineage: Eukaryota; Viridiplantae; Streptophyta; Magnoliopsida; Amborellales; Amborellaceae
Description: long non-coding RNA (ATRI_LNC003198)
Source: RNAcentral
AUUUUUAAAUUUUAUUUCUAUAUACAACUUAAGGUUUCAAAAUGAAUAGUGAGAUUCUAUAUCUUAUAUCUUUUAACCUUUUAUACCAACUUUAUCCAUUUUUACCUUCUUUUUUUCUCUACCCGUAUCUCUCACCUUGUUCCUCCAACUCUAUGAGAAUUAUCUGUUGCAGUCUCUCACUGUGCUUCCAACUAUGUGCUCCCCAACUCUUUCUGUCAAACGCAAACGGCUUUAGCUUUAAAUAAGCUUUGAUGGAGUUUCACUAUGUUCAAUGGCCCACUCUUCAUACCCCUCUUCUUAAGUUGAACGGAUGGUCACAAUAUUGUUUUCAUUCUUGGAAGGAAACCAAAUCAAUUUACAGUUUGGGUCAAGUAAAGAAAUGGAUAGAGCUAUAAGUUUCCAUGAUGAAAGUGCAGUGAGUUAUCAAGGAUUCAACUUUAGCUAGUGACGGUAAUGCCAGCUCGAUAAAGAAGCUUUAAUGGAGUUUCAGUGUCUUCAAUGGCCGAAAAGACAACUCUUAUUUCUUCAUGUUCAAUGUUCAGAGACAUGAGCUUUCAGAUGGAUGAUAGUCAAAUUGGGCUCUACAAUUUGUGUAUCAAGUUGAUAAUUGCUUGGUGCUUCAUAGUCUUCUAGUUACUCAUUCUGAAGCACUUUUCUCAUAACCCGAAGAAUCCGAAAAAAAAUAUUGAUAUAAUUCAACAUUGGAUACUUUCAUGGCUUUCAAAACAUCACUCCAAGUGCAAAAUAGAAAUGAAAUUUCAUGCUUAGAAUUUUCAUUUAGCACCAAAAAAUGUUAACAGAUUGAAAAGAAUAGAAGGUAUUCUCCUUGUAAGAGCUUGCAAUUAUGUAUGAGAUGUCUGCAAUUUCUUUAAUAUCAUAAUGUUUAGUGACUUCCAAAACAUAGGCCAUGAAUGAAAAGAUGCAGAGCUCUGAUGAUGCUCAAAUGGAGUUUCAAAGAUAUUAUAAACAGCUCGUUUUGGGGUUUCUCUGCAACGAUAUUGUGAAUGGUCAAUGGCGAUGAAAUAUUGGUUUAGAAAAGAUGCACAAAAAUCUUUUUAGGGUUGUUUAGGGUUUCUCUUUGAAGAAGCUUUAAUGGAGUUUUGGGUAUCUUUCUAUGGUUUUCAAAAACUAAAGAGAGAAUGUCAAGAGAAAGCUAGAGAGAGAAAGUGACAUACCUUUGGGGUGUGGUGAAAGAGUGAGACCCAUGGGGAGAGUGAAAGAAUUGGGCUUGG